Molecule: long non-coding RNA, 2082 nt
Organism: Lacerta agilis (Sand lizard)
Lineage: Eukaryota; Metazoa; Chordata; Lepidosauria; Squamata; Lacertidae
Exons: 2
Source: RefSeq, a predicted model, not a curated record
GGUCCUUGUUAAACAGUGUAGUUCCUAACCUAACUUUUGCUCAUUGUCACACAGCAUUGAGUUUUUUUAGAUGUAGCGUGCAUGCACAGGCCAACAGUAUGUGCUUCUGUAAGAAUACAGAUCCCAUGGUGCAGUACAACAGUGAGCAAAAAGUGCUUGAGAACAAUGUAUGUAGUGACUGUUGACUACAAAACUCAUGAUAAAACAAGACUGAUGUACAGGGACGCAUGCUCUGGUCUGGGAAAACAAAUUUCAAGGUGAAAUUUACCGCUCCUUAAAAGGCAAAUGAGAUUCCUGUCUCAUUUUCCUUAUAAAUUGAGCAAAGGUUAACAGGCUGCUGCUUCACACACAGGCAGAGGUUUACUGAUGGAGGACCUAGUUUUGAAUGAUACCAUUUAUUAUGAUUGGCCGAGCUGUGCACUUUUCUACAGGUCAACCAGUUAAGUUGCUAUUGGGACUGGAUCUCUUGGGAUUCAUAAGCCUGUGCCCACCUUUCCUCCUACCCUUGCCAAUAGCAUUCCAGUUUUUGCCACCCACUCUUAAAACCUAACCUCGUGAGCUGUUGCUAGCUGCUGCUUCCUUGCAGGGCUGUGAAAGAAAAUACCUCUGUCAAUGAUUGGCCUAUUUUUAGCCAAGAUAGAUGUAUUCUGUUUGCCACAACUCUUGGGCACAGAGCUGAGGAUACAGCAAAUUGUAUCCAAACUGGAUAGAGCAAUUUUAGAUCAAUCUUAAUUAAGGCAAGUAGCAAUAUGGCAUAAACAUAUUAUUUUCAACUUAAGGGGUGUGAGAUGGGCUUCAAAUGGCUCUAGGGGUUCUUUGGAUUCUUCAAGACUCAAGCUGGGAUUCUCCUUUUACCCACUAUCCAUUAAUACGCUACUAAACAUUGAGGUCUCAGUUUUGAGAAGAGUCAAUUUGCGUUAGUUUUCAGCUUGCCCUAUGUAUGAUUUACACAGGCCAACUUGUGGUUAUACAGCAAGUUGGUUUGGUUGACCUCCCUGACCCAAUUGGUUUGUAUGCCCUUUCAACAAAAGAAGUGGCCUGUUUAAGAUUUAUUUUGCGUGUACUGGUCUCCCUUCUACUUCUGCAACAUGGCCACAGUUCUCCUGUUGUUACUACUUCUUAACAGCCACUUCUUUAAAUUAGUGUAGGCUUAAAAAAGAACACUUUGGUCAUUUGAGGAAGUUUUUGAUAAAUACUAACAGCAACAGAUAGGCUCUCCAUUCCUGUAUUUCUGCAGGGCUUUCAGAACUUCCAUUGUCUCUGAAAUUCUAUGGCUUAGCAAGAAUUUGAAUCAAAGUUUAGAUCAGUGCGGAUCAGUCUGGCUUUCACUUCCUUCUGUAUUAUAGGGGGUGGCUGCCCUGCCAUGUUAAUAAAAUCCAACUAGGAAUUUAGGCUUUUUUAAUGUUUAGAUUGGGGGUGGAGAACCUAUGUCCCUGCAGAUGUUGACUGCAGUUUCCAUCAACCUGACCAAGCAUGCCCAGUUGGCCAUAGGUUCUUCACCUGACCUCUAGAUUCUUAGGGAAGUGUCAGUAAAAACCUACCAAGCUGAUCUCUAGGUAAUUUAUCCUGAGUUGAUCUGAUGUGGCGUGAAUUCGAAUCAUAUGAAAAGUACCCCAGGUAGACUAAAUCUGCAGCCGUUUGUCUCUUUCCAUUGUUUAGUUUACAUCACAGGAAGAAAGGUUUACUUAUGCUGGCAGAAACUAGAGAAAAUGCUAUAAUUAAUUGGAUCCAGAUGUGUCCCAUCAAGCUUUGCCUCACAGUGAAACGGCCUGGUAUUUAAGCAGAAUUUCCAAGCCAAACAACUCUUGAGGCAGGGCUGUGACUUACAAUAAGCUUUUAACUGCAUGUACACUGAUGCAACUGGAGACCAUCAACAUCAUGUUGAUUCCACAUGAAAUUUAGUGCUAAUAUGCUAUUAUAAAGGACUUGCUCUGUUAAUGAGCAAUUCACUCUGCUGUACUGUUAGAAGACCCGGGGAUUUUCGUAUUUGGUUUUUGUUUGUUUUCUGCAAAAUGAGACUUGCUUUGUGUUCUGUCUGCCAAAAAGUGGGGUCAAUAAAGUGAAAUGUGAUUGUUUGCAAUA